This 578-nucleotide long non-coding RNA is filed under the name Mytilus galloprovincialis (Mediterranean mussel). Lineage: Eukaryota; Metazoa; Mollusca; Bivalvia; Mytilida; Mytilidae. The record is from RNAcentral.
AAAUUUCAUUAUAUUGACAACGAUGUGCGAACAAAAACAAACAGACAUAAUAGGUAAAAAGGUCAAAAAUAGGGUUACAGCAGUCAGUUUUUUGUUUUAAUCUUCACCACUAUAAAAACAAGCAAAUAUUUGAAAAAAAGAUAAACUAAAAAGGAAUAUAGACAAAGCACAUUUGCAAAAAUGAAAGACAAGAAUACAAAAGCCAAUAUUAGGUGAAAUUAGCUAGUGAUUUCGAAUCAGCUCCAAAACUUGAUCCGAUCGCAUAUUUUACUCACACAGUUAAACGGAACUGCGAUAAAAAAAACACACACACAUUCAAAAAGUUACUAAAACUCGUAAUAUAAGUAUUCCGUAUUGUACACUGCAAAAAUCUAAAUAUUUUUCACAAGCUCGUCUGUUAUAUUUGUAUUUUCUUAUCCAAAACCCGUCUUAUAUAUCAUAAGGCAGACUUCAAGCAACAGGCUACAUCUGGUAUUGACACUGCUUGGUACAAGAAAGACGUAAAUCUUUUAGGAAAGACUAUGUAUAAGACAGAAAAAUAAAACAAUUUUCGUCUGACGAAAUAAAUUAUAAUCCUG